RNAcentral lists this long non-coding RNA (3764 nucleotides) under Nicotiana tabacum (common tobacco). Its description in RNAcentral is "long non-coding RNA (NTAB_LNC005438)". The record is from RNAcentral. Lineage: Eukaryota; Viridiplantae; Streptophyta; Magnoliopsida; Solanales; Solanaceae.
GGCCAACUGAAAGGAUUAAAUGAAAUAAAAAUAAAGUAAAGAGGAUUGUGGGUCCCACGCAAAACCACAAACAUCAUCUUAAAUGAAUUGAAGACUUCUUCUUCUCGUUCUUAUCAACUGAAACAAUACCCAGAACAAAUUUUAAUCCUGUUCGGUCAAAUUUUAGCUCAAUUCUAAAGAUCUUCUGCUACUUCCGUUUAUCCAUGGAUUUAAGGUAAAUUCUUUCUUAAUCUCUUAUGGCUUCUUUGUAUAUUGCUCACAAAAAUAAAUUAUAUUUCAGAUAUCUCAUAAUUAUAGAUUCUAGAUGUUGAAGCUCUUCUACACUUGAAAUUAGUAGUACCAAAAUACAAAAUUCACUUGUCAUAUUAGUGUAAUAUCCUGCAGUAAAUUAUUUAAUAACACCCCUAGGAAGAGAACAAAAGUAGAUUCAAAUAUAUUCACACAAAAUAGAGGGUCCUAUUAUGCUUCAAUUGAUGCCGACACUGGUUAUUGUUUGAGCUGGGUGUUGGCUGCAACAUGCUGUCUGCAAGCUUGAUUCUUGAGUCAACAAUUGGGUGAAAGUACUAUUUGAAUUUUCAUAUAGCUGCAUAUUUGAAAUUGAAAGGAAAAUACAUAUUAAAAUUAUUAGAUGACAGAAAGGUGCAAAAACCAUUAACAAAAAAUAUUUAACUUGACAUGUAUAGAGAUUAAACCUCAAAACGUAAUCCCGUGGACGCAUGUGGUAGUCCUACUUUAGCUUUUGAUGCCUUUUGAGAUGUCUUUCUCCUUCUUUGCUGAGUAAUUGACUUUAAUCUCCCAUAUACCUUUUUCUUUCCUUUUUUCUUUAUUGGAUCCAGAAUAUGAUCCAUACUACCUAGCAGAGGAUCAGUAGUUGAAAUAAACUUAUGCCGAUUUUUAUCACGACCAUCUACAUAUAACGCACUUUGGAGCUUAGUUAUCUCAACCUUUGCUUGAUACAAAUAUUUUCUAGCAAUUUCCUCGAAGUCGACAUCAUUUGCUGCUAAAGUCAUAACUACAAAUGACUCCUUCAUUAAACCAUUUAAGCGAAUUGCCAUAGAGGAUUUUAACGGUUCCUACUUAUUGAUGUACUCCUCAAAUCCAUUACUAUGUUUAGCAUUCUUAGUCUAUCUUUUCAAAAUGUAUUGCUCCGGGAUACAAAAAAAGUUCAAGUCAAAGAACAAAACUCUUAGUGCAUGACAACAUAGCCAACCCAUGGAUUCAAACAUCUGGCAACUACAAAUAAUUGAUUUGUCCAGAGAAUUGAACAGGACGAUUUCAGUUUGCCCACUUUCACCCUUUAAAACUGUAAACUUACUACAAGUCCCAUUAGUAUCAACAUUGACUACUUUUUUGGUUGUCCCUUGCAAAAAUUCAUGUUGAAAUCUGGAAAAAAUUCUUCUGGUGUAAACACUAGCAACAUGCUUUAAGAUCCCACAAUCUUCUAUGAAAAGUUUAGGUUUUCCUCGACACUUGUAAUCCUCAGUUUCCUCAAUAUCACGCAUUUCAGUUGCUCGUUGCUCAUAGUGCUUUACAAAUUCAGUUAUACUCAUUGUCUUGCAUGCCAUUUCUGUAAAGACCCUAUUCGUGCUCUCACUUCUUUGAGUUGAUCUGAUACCUGCAGAGAAAAAAAAAUGACUAAAUGCGGGACACCACUUCGCCCUCAAGUCAUAUAGCUUCUGAAGCCAAGUGGUAUUCCCACAUUCCAAUCACUUAUCAUUUUCUGCCAUAUUAACUCAAAUUUUAUCUCUGAGUGCACCUCCACAGAAGUUUAUCGAAAUAUUCUUUGAAUCCCGAUUUCCAGUAAAGAUAUGGUAUGUUCUUUUGAGCAUUUCUAUCAAUAUGCCAUUCACAUAAUCGAUGACAUGUAUCAGAAAAAACUUCUUUAACGGCAAAUGCUAUGGCAUGAGCUUGAUCGGUAAAAAUUGUUCUUGGUGCUUUUCCUCCCAUUGCCUUCAAAAAUGUUUGAAAUAACCAAACAAAAGAAUCAAUCGUUUCAUCGCACAAUAAUGCACAUCCAAAGAAAACAUUUUUCCAUGAUUAUUCACACCAACAAAUGGAGCACAAAUCAUGUCAUCUAUUUGUACGAUAUCUAGUAUAAAAAAUCAUCACAUCCCCAAAAUACUCAUAGUGCAAUCUAGAUAUGCUAUCUCUCCAAAAGAAGUUGCACAAUCUGCCAUCUUCAUCAACUUGAAAAAAAUAAAAGAGGUUUGAAUCCUCUGCUUGCAAAUGCAUAAAAUGAUUUACCAAAGUUUGAGCAUCUCCACUACUAAUCAUGUUUCUCUUGUGCGCUUGUAUGAAGUUAUGAGCAUCUUGUUCAGUAAAUCCUGCAUUUUCAAUUCCACCAGCUUCAUUCUGAAGGUAUCGAACAACUUUUUUUUGCACGAAUACCAACAUCAACCAUAGAACCAAGAAUGUUUUUGGUAGCACUUGUAAGCUUUCGACCGGAUUGUAUGAAAUGUCUCAAGUUCUCUUCUAUCAUGAGAUGGCUAUGCACAUCAUUGAAUUUACAUAUUUCCCAUGUCCCAUUUGAAAUUUUGAAUUUUAUACGAGCCAGACAACCACAUUUAUAUUCUAACCUUUGUCGCUUUUUUUCUUGAAAAGGGGAAAGCUUGUCAGAUUUCCCUUCACAAGAACAAAGAAAUAAACAUCUAGUAAUUUCUUUGUUUCUAUUAAGAGUUUUUGGUCCUUUUCGAACACCGAACCCUUUUGCCAUGGCGUAGGAAUUGUAUGCAUUGUAUGAUUCUUCUUUAGAACCAAAUUUCAUGCCAAUCUUAAAAGCAAAGUUCUUGUCGAUAUUAUACACAUUAUGUAUCAUUGUGGAAUUUUUCUCAUUAUUUGAAUUGUGAUCUUGGUAAGAAACAAGAGUAGUAGGCACUGUCAUAGUCUCCAUAACGAAAUUAACUCCACCUCUAGCCACUGGUACAAUAGUUUCUGCUGUUUUAGGAAACAAAAGCAAAUCCCUCUUAGAACACAAAAUUAGAAAAUAAACUUAGAGUGAAUUCCCCUCCCUGUCCAGUUAUACAUACUGAAGCUAAGUCCUUGAUAAGAUUUUUUUUUAUUGUUGUCUAUUCUUUAUCACUAAAAGAUUACAGUGAUAUAAUUUAGUCUAUUCUUAGGCACUAUUCUUUAUCACUAUAAUUGUGAAUGAAAUCUUUUGUGCAAAUUUGGCCCACCAUCUCAUUUUAGUACUAAAAGAUUACAGUGAUAAUAAAAGUUCAUAUUGAUCUUAUUUUAAAUUUAUAGUAAACAAUAUUUUUGUAUUGAUAAUUUUUCUUGCAGGUAUGAUAACAAAAUGGAUCAAAUGCAAAAGUCUCAAUGUCAGUGGGCACAAAUUUGUAUUUGUUAACAAGAAGACAUAAAUUUUAUAUUGAUAAGAAGAGUAUUUUGUAAGCACAAUUUUGUAUUUCACACUGAUAUUGACAAGAAGAGUAUUUUGUGAGCACAAUUCUGUAUAUCGAUGAAUAACUUCUAAAGGUUCAGUUUUUAAGCUUUGGCAACUGAAGAUGAAUUUAGAAAGAUGUAAACUAUGAUAAUAAAAGUUAAAAUAAAAACAAGAAGAAGACAGAUAGAUACAAAAUGUAUAUGGAAUAUUACGUUUGGAUAGAAUGCCGUUUUUCUUUGCUUGAAUAUAAAUUUGUUGUGGCCUUCGUUUGGGCUAUGUUGAUCCACAGUUCAAAGAGAUGAGAAAUUUUGUUGGAGUCUAUACUCUAUUGUAAUGACCACAAAUGGUAAUUAAGGAGGGAAAAUUGCUUCCACGUUUUCUC